RNAcentral lists this ribosomal RNA (494 nucleotides) under uncultured bacterium. Its description in RNAcentral is "partial 16S ribosomal RNA". It matches the Rfam family "Bacterial small subunit ribosomal RNA", at positions 28 to 506 of the family's 1533-position model. The record is from RNAcentral.
GACGAACGCUGGCGGCGUGCCUAAUACAUGCCAGUAGAACGCUGAAGGAGGAGCUUGCUUCUCUGGAUGAGUUGCGAACGGGUGAGUAACGCGUAGGUAACCUGCCUGGUAGCGGGGGAUAACUAUUGGAAACGAUAGCUAAUACCGCAUAACAGUAGAUAUCGCAUGAUAUCUACUUGAAAGGUGCAAUUGCAUCACUACCAGAUGGACCUGCGUUGUAUUAGCUAGUUGGUGAGGUAACGGCUCACCAAGGCGACGAUACAUAGCCGACCUGAGAGGGUGAUCGGCCACACUGGGACUGAGACACGGCCCAGACUCCUACGGGAGGCAGCAGUAGGGAAUCUUCGGCAAUGGACGGAAGUCUGACCGAGCAACGCCGCGUGAGUGAAGAAGGUUUUCGGAUCGUAAAGCUCUGUUGUAAGGGAAGAACGAGUGUGAGAGUGGAAAGUUCACACUGUGACGGUAUCUUACCAGAAAGGGACGGCUAAUUACGG